GACGUAGGGGGCGAGCGUUGUCCGGAGUUACUGGGCGUAAAGGGCGCGUAGGCGGUUCUGCAAGUCGGUUGUGAAAACAUCAGGGCUUAACCCGAUGCUUGCAUCCGAUACUGCAGAACUUGAGGAAUGGAGAGGAAGCUAGAAUUACUGGUGUAGCGGUGAAAUGCGUUGAUAUCAGUAGGAAUACCGGUGGCGAAGGCGGGCUUCUGGCCAUUAUCUGACGCUGAGGCGCGAAAGCUGGGGGAGCAAACAGG
RNAcentral lists this ribosomal RNA (254 nucleotides) under uncultured bacterium. Its description in RNAcentral is "partial 16S ribosomal RNA". It matches the Rfam family "Bacterial small subunit ribosomal RNA", at positions 524 to 776 of the family's 1533-position model. The record is from RNAcentral.